This 324-nucleotide long non-coding RNA is filed under the name Salvia miltiorrhiza (redroot sage). Its description in RNAcentral is "long non-coding RNA (SMIL_LNC014359)". Lineage: Eukaryota; Viridiplantae; Streptophyta; Magnoliopsida; Lamiales; Lamiaceae. The record is from RNAcentral.
GGGAGUGGUUACGGGCGAUUUCGCCGGCCAGAGAAUGGGCGGUGUAGAGAGUGAGAGGGCAGGGUUGUGAGGUGAAAGAGAGAGAGAACAUAUAUAUAUAGAGAGAGAGAGAGAGAGAAGAAGAAGAAGAGAGAGUUUUCUUUUUUUUUUUUUUAAUUUCAGAUUUUGUGUUAUUCUUUUGGUUUUUUAUUAAAUCAGAUUUUCUUAAGUGAGAAAAUUAAAAUUGUCCACUUGUUAAGUUUAAAAUUAAAAUUGCCCACUUCUUAUAAAAACUUGAAUCUAUGCCCAAAAAUACCUAAAUUACCCUUCAUGUCUCAAUCAGUG